CAGGAUCGCCGCCCCGAGCGGGGCUCUGCGGGCACGGUCGCCGCCGGCGGGCUGGCAAGGCUGGGGAUGCGCGGCCUGGGGGUGGCCCGCGGGCUCAGACCCGCGGAGGAGGCGGCGGCGCACCGAAGAGCCCGCGUGGGAACAACUGCCUGCAGUGCCCUGUUGGUUUUCCUGAUUAUAUAGUUGGUGACUUUGGCCUUCUGAUUUGAUUCAGCUUGCUGCGGGCAGGGAAUACAAUGUGUACUGCUCCGGCUGACUGCAACGCCCAUCUCCGUGCUCAAUAAAGAGUUUAUAGCUGAAUUAAUAAAGAAAUGUUUAUUGCAAGGAUCAAAUAGUAUAAUGUACAGAAAAGCACUUUACAGAAUAGAAAACACUUCAGUCAUUAAGACUAUCCUGUUAUCUCCUAGUAGGAGAGAGGAUCAGAUUGGGCAAGUAAGUGCCCUAGAUCAUCCAGCUGUUCUGCUCUGCAGCCAAGAAUCAAAUUUGGCUCUUAGUCACAGCUCUGGGCUUUUGGCAGUUCACUUAGAUGGAAAUUUCUUAUUAAGUGACUCUGAUGAAACAUGCAUAUAUCAUCAGCUUACUGCUAUAAAAAGAUGCUCAUCAGACGCAUCUUUUGCCAGCCUCUGAUGGGUUAACCUGCCAAGGCUUUUUCUAACCCUAUUUCCUUUCUUUUUACAAGGGUUUUUCUUUUUCUUUUUCUUUUUUUUUUUUUUUUACCAGGUAGCUGAGAAGGGCUCUCUUCUCCCUUUUUUCCUACAGUCGUGACAUUUGAUGAAAAGCACUUCUGACGCCCUGGCCAGUUUUCAGGAGCCCAGAUCUGGGGCUGUGUGUCAGGAAUGUGUGUCUGUGAGCAUUCCAGGUUCUCAGCCUGUGUGUCUCCCAACACGGCCUGCCGGUAACAGUCAUGACUGGAGUGUCUGCACAAUGAGCUCCUGGG
This is a long non-coding RNA of Bubalus bubalis (water buffalo), 937 nucleotides long. RefSeq lists it as uncharacterized. Lineage: Eukaryota; Metazoa; Chordata; Mammalia; Artiodactyla; Bovidae. The transcript has 2 exons. The record is from RefSeq and is a predicted model, not a curated record.